RNAcentral lists this non-coding RNA (24 nucleotides) under Arabidopsis thaliana (thale cress). The record is from RNAcentral. Lineage: Eukaryota; Viridiplantae; Streptophyta; Magnoliopsida; Brassicales; Brassicaceae.
AUAGUAGUCAGAAAUGCAAUCGGC